Molecule: long non-coding RNA, 826 nt
Organism: Triticum dicoccoides
Lineage: Eukaryota; Viridiplantae; Streptophyta; Magnoliopsida; Poales; Poaceae
Exons: 3
Source: RefSeq, a predicted model, not a curated record
CAGCGUCAUCCCAUCUCAUCUGCUUGUGUGAAGGACAGGGGCCCUGGAGGAGCUGCUCCCCUGCGGGUUCAGUGGCUGCUCCGACACUGACGGCAUGGAAGGUCCUCGCUUGCCCUUACCUCUCCCUGUUCGGUUCCGUUCAUGAGCAGAUUUAAUUUUUGGUAGAUUCACGAAUCAAUUUCCCACAAGUUGGAGCUUUAUGUGGUUGCGACUAGGGAUUAUUGUAAUGCUAUUCGCUUUCACUGGAUGGCCGUGUGAAUGAAAUUACAUGUGUUAGUCAAAUGAGCAAAUUAGAUGACCCCCCAUGCCUACAAGCCUUCUUGGGUUAAAAUUAAAUGGUUUAUUGAUGUCUAGUUUUUGUAUGUUCUGGUUGGUUGUGAAACACAUGCGGUUUUUCUAGGCCGAUUCAGUUUUUUGGUUCUGUCUUGUUCUAGCCUUCUAGGUCGAUUCAGUUUUUCAUUUUCUCUCUUUAUGAUUUAAACACGAACUGCAGAUCCAGUAUCUGUUUGAUCAUCCAUGUGCCAUAUAUAUAUAUGGAGCUGUCUGUAGCAUUUGAUCACUACUACUACUAGUUGCAGCAACUAGUAGUGCCUUAACAAUGGGCUCUCUCUGGAAAACAAGUCUUCUUGAGGAGAAAUCUAACUGUACUAAGUACCAGCACAUGUUAUCAGAAUGGUAGCUUGUAUUGCUGCAGAGCCCAUUUCUAUCCUGGAAAGCAUGGAUUCUGAAGGAUAUGUAUAAUGGGACGUCAAACCUGAGAACUUUCAUCUCAGCCAGCCUGGAACUCCUGAAGAAAAGAAACCUUUUCUUGUAGAUCUUGGAUUAG